CGUGAUACUGUCACCUCUAGCCAUUUCAGCAGCCUUAUCAACUCACGGUAGAGCAGGUUUAUAUCAACAAGAAUAUACAAUGAGGUCCUGCAUCGUGCUGUUAUGGUUUUGAGUAAGAAGCUUAAGAUGGGUUUUGAAAUUGAGAUAAGAGGAAGGAGAAAGAAACCCUGGAACAUCUGCAGUGGCUUCACUGUCUUUAAAGGGAAAAAACAACACGAGGACGAAACAAUGGACAAUUCGUCUUAGGACAGAUGCAGAUGAACUGGUCAAGGAAUUUAUGUUUGGCACAUACACUGAUGUUAUCUGUUACUAGUAACAAGAGCAUCUGGAGCCUUCCACAUUGGACACACACACACACACACACACACACACACACACACACACACACACACACACACACACACACACACACACACACACACACACACACAAAUACACACAGACACAAAUGUUUUUUGUUUUUUUGUUUUUUUUAAAAAAGCCAAAAAAAAAAAAAAAAACUAUAGCAACCAGAUGAUUUGCUGCCUAGUCUGCAGUGUUGGUUAAAAAAAACAAAACUUGAUAAAAUUAACAGUGGGACGUUUAUCGUGUAAUGUGUAAUAUGUAAUACAUUUAUGUUAAAGGUGAUAGACACCAGUUGUGUAGUCAUGGUUUCAAGUUUAUAGGUAACACAACAUCUCACACACACACACACACACACACACACACACACAUACUGUACAAUCAUUCACACCUAGAGGCAAUUUGGCAUAGUCAAACCACCUACCAACACGUUUUAGGGAAGUGAGAGGAAACUGGAUGACACUGUAAAAGCCCAUGUGAACACAGGGAGAACAUGAGAAAGUGUGUACAGACAGUAACCUGAGCUCGGGAUCCAAAGAGGGGCUGUAAAGAGGUCAGAUUCCCAACAUUCUACGGUAUAGAUUUUACAUCUAUAAAGAAUAUCAUCAGUGAAGUGAAGUGCAUGAAAACUGAUUCACAUUCAUUAGCUAGAUUUAUGGUAGAAGCCACAGAUGGUCUUCAGAGACUGAGCUAAACAUUAUGAAAGCUGGUUGGUGACCUUAACAAAUAUGAGCAAGCGUGAAAAAAAAACUAUGCAGAAGGGAUUCUUGGAACAGCAAACCAGCCAAUUUCCUGCAAAACAGCUCACUGAGGGAACUGAUCAAUGAGGGAAUUUCAAAAGCAUCCUGCGCAGCAGCAUCACUGCCUGGUUACAGAAUUGUACCGUCUCAGACCACAAGACAUUGCAGCGGAUAGUGAGGACAGCAGAGAAGGUCAUUGCAUCCCGCCAUCAUAUCAUUAGCCAUAAGCCUUGCAGAUGACUGAAUGCAGCAAACACACAAACUUUUCACCCUCCUGCACUCUGGAAAAAGUUACAAAAGUAUUCAGCCCUCACAACUAGAAUGUGUAACAGUUUCUUCCCCCAAGCCAUUAAACCCAUUCUGUUCUAAUGUUCUGGGUUUUUUUUUUUUUUUGCCCCACAACCUUGCCUAGCUCAUGUUUUUUUUUUUUUUUUUUUUGAUCGUCUGAUCAAUCCCUGCACCUUGACUUUCUCUCAGGAUUUUUCUAUUUAUUUUGAUUGUCCAUUUUAAUAAAAUCUUGCAUACCAGCUCUUGCAAAAAUACCUGAUCACCUGACAGAGCCAGAACAAAUAGACUGAAAAAUAGCUUCUUUCCCGUGGCUGUUUCUGCACUGAACAGAUGAUAUGUUGUUAACAAUCACCACUGUACUGUCACUUUUAUUCUGUGUUUUGCAUUAUUUUGCACCACUUUAAA
Tachysurus fulvidraco (yellow catfish) is the source of this 1775-nucleotide long non-coding RNA. RefSeq lists it as uncharacterized. NCBI's taxonomy places the organism in Eukaryota, Metazoa, Chordata, Actinopteri, Siluriformes, Bagridae. The transcript is spliced from 3 exons. The record is from RefSeq and is a predicted model, not a curated record.